Molecule: long non-coding RNA, 1156 nt
Organism: Numida meleagris (helmeted guineafowl)
Lineage: Eukaryota; Metazoa; Chordata; Aves; Galliformes; Numididae
Exons: 2
Source: RefSeq, a predicted model, not a curated record
UGGUGAUGGGGAUCCCGAUGCUCCUCCUGCUCCCGCGGCUCCUCUCCUCCUCACCUCCGCCUCCUCCACCUCCGCCUCGCAUCGCUGGCCUCAGCCGCCGCCGACCAGCGCAGCAGGGAGGCGAGCAAGUGGAAGUGCAUCCCGUGCAACGUCUGGGAACGGCCUCGCAGGGCUUUGGCACCUUGUGCAGGAAUGAGCGCAUGCAGGUAGAAUGCGAUGGCUCCUGCUGAGCGCGGCAGCGCUGAAUCCUGCAGCCCAGCGAAGAGCAGCUGGUUAAGGUGGAAUGUGAAAAUCAGUCACAAGAUAAACAGGUUGCAACGUUAAGCGCUCUCCGAGGGAAAGGCGGCGUGCAGCAUAUGUUCUUACUUUGGAAGAUAUUUAAGAAAGGGGAAAAAAAAAAAAAAAUCUCAGCCCUUUAAUAGACCCUUUACUGGCUUAAGCUAGUGGAGCUGUUAAUUAAUUAAAUAACUAUAUGUGAAUGGCAUCCAUUGGGAAAGAGCCUCACAGCUUCCAGAUGCCAGUUAUUGGCCCCAUUACAGGCCUAAAACUAUUACAGUAAAUCAUUACAUGCUCCGAGAUGAACUGGCACACGAUUGCUGGGAGGAAGGACGGAGCUAUUCUCACUUGUGCCAUUUUGUGUCAGUUUUUAUCUAGUGAGAUUAAUUAGGACUUUUAGAAGUGCAAGUCAGAACUAUAAAAUAUUAAAGGAUAUUCCAUCAAUGGGAUGGAGACAUGCUUAAGCAGAGCUUUUAAAACUUUUGGAUGUUGACGGAUAGAUAGAAAUUGGAAGAGAUAAUGAGCAACAUCUGAUUUUGAUUUAUAUAUAUUUUUAGAAGGUCAGAUUUAUAGUGAGUGGGGCUGCACUGAGCCUCCUCUGUCUGCUGGGGGAGUACUCAGAGGAGGACAUUAAAGUUUAUCACCGGAGUUCAGGUGCCAGGUAAGCAAACAGUUUCUGAGGCCAAAACCAAUCAUUUAAAGCAGUUAUUCCAGAUACAAAAUCAACCAGAAAGUAUUAAAUAACCUCAUGGCCUGGAUCCCCAGCUGGGAGGGGAGCGCUUCCUGACACUGGAUGCCAGCCUAAAAUCUAUGAUCUGGCCUAGAAGGGGCCUUUUUUCCCCUUUCUUAAUUAAUAAACUGUACUUUUUUUCACCCUAAA